AGGGAAUCUUCCGCAAUGGACGAAAGUCUGACGGAGCAACGCCGCGUGAGCGAUGAAGGUCUUCGGAUCGUAAAGCUCUGUUGUUAGGGAAGAAAAAGUUGGAUAGUAACUGAUCCAACCUUGACGGUACCUAACCAGAAAGCCACGGCUAACUACGUGCCAGCAGCCGCGGUAAUACGUAGGUGGCAAGCGUUGUCCGGAUUUAUUGGGCGUAAAGGGCUCGCAGGCGGUCUUCUAAGUCUGAUGUGAAAUCUUGCGGCUUAACCGUAAGCGGUCAUUGGAAACUGGGAGACUUGAGUGCAGAAGAGGAGAGUGGAAUUCCAUGUGUAGCGGUGAAAUGCGUAGAGAUAUGGAGGAACACCAGUGGCGAAGGCGACUCUCUGGUCUGUAACUGACGCUGAGGAGCGAAAGCGUGGGGAGCAAAC
This 425-nucleotide ribosomal RNA is filed under the name uncultured bacterium. Its description in RNAcentral is "bacterial SSU rRNA". It matches the Rfam family "Bacterial small subunit ribosomal RNA", at positions 356 to 773 of the family's 1533-position model. The record is from RNAcentral.